CCAGCUCCAAUAGCGUAUAUUAAAGUUGUUGCAGUUAAAUAGCUCGUAGUUGAAUUUUGGGCUGGGCUGGGUGGUCUCGCCGCAAGGUGUGCACUGCUCUGGUCUGGUCUUUCCUUCUGGGGAACUAGGGUGCUCUUAACUGGGUGCUCUAGGGAUCCAGGACUUUUACUUUGAAAAAAUUAGAGUGUUUAAAGCGGGCAUUUGCUUGAAUACAUUAGCAUGGAAUAAUAGAAUAGGACUUUGGUUCUAUUUUGUUGGUUUCUAGGACCGAAGUAAUGAUUAAUAGGGAUAGUUGGGGGCAUUAGUAUUUAAUUGUCAGAGGUGAAAUUCUUGGAUUUAUGAAAGACUAACUUCUGCGAAAGCAUUUGCCAAGGAUGUUUUCA
RNAcentral lists this ribosomal RNA (383 nucleotides) under uncultured Chytridiales. RNAcentral's name for it is "SSU rRNA". It matches the Rfam family "Eukaryotic small subunit ribosomal RNA", at positions 585 to 972 of the family's 1831-position model. The record is from RNAcentral. Lineage: Eukaryota; Fungi; Chytridiomycota; Chytridiomycetes; Chytridiales.